CCUACGGGAGGCAGCAGUGAGGAAUAUUGGUCAAUGGCCGGAAGGCUGAACCAGCCAUGCCGCGUGAAGGUCAGUGCCCUAUGGGCGUUAAACUUCUUUUGUGCGGGAGCAAUAAUGGUCACGUGUGGCCAGACGAGAGUACCGUACGAAUAAGCAUCGGCUAACUCCGUGCCAGCAGCCGCGGUAAUACGGGAGAUGCAAGGUUUAUCCGGAUUUAUGGGGUUUAAAGGGUGCGUAGGUUGUGAGGUCAGUCAGCAGGGAAAUGCCCCCGCUCAACGGGGUGAAGUGCCAUUGAUACUGCCUUGCUGGAGUGCGGAUGCGGUGAGAGGAAUGUGUAGUGUAGCGGUGAAAUGCAUAGAUAUCACGCAGAACACCGAUUGCGAAGGCAUCUCACGAAUCCGCGAUUGACGCUGAGGCACGAAAGCGUGGGUAUCAAACAGGAUUAGAUACCCCUGUAGUC
Molecule: ribosomal RNA, 460 nt
Filed under: uncultured bacterium
Lineage: Bacteria
Description: partial 16S ribosomal RNA
Rfam family: Bacterial small subunit ribosomal RNA
Source: RNAcentral